CUACGGGCUGCAGCAGUGGGGAAUAUUGCACAAUGGAGGAAACUCUGAUGCAGCAACGCCGCGUGGAGGAUGACACUUUUCGGAGCGUAAACUCCUUUUAUAUAGGAAGAAGAUGACGGUACUAUAUGAAUAAGCGCCGGCGUAACUCCGUGCCAGCAGCCGCGGUAAUACGGAGGGCGCAAGCGUUACUCGGAAUCACUGGGCGUAAAGAGCGUGUAGGCGGAUUAAAAAGUCAGAAGUGAAAUCCUAUAGCUUAACUAUAGAACUGCUUCUGAAACUCUUAAUCUAGAAUAUGGGAGAGGUAGAUGGAAUUUCUGGUGUAGGGGUAACAUCCGUAGAGAUCAGAAGGAAUACCGAUUGCGAAGGCGAUCUACUAGAACAUUAUUGACGCUGAGACGCGAAAGCGUGGGGAGCAAACAGGAUUAGAUACCCCCGUAGUC
This 440-nucleotide ribosomal RNA is filed under the name uncultured bacterium. Its description in RNAcentral is "partial 16S ribosomal RNA". It matches the Rfam family "Bacterial small subunit ribosomal RNA", at positions 339 to 795 of the family's 1533-position model. The record is from RNAcentral.